CCUACGGGUGGCAGCAGUGAGGAAUAUUGGUCAAUGGACGAGAGUCUGAACCAGCCAAGUAGCGUGAAGGAUGACUGCCCUAUGGGUUGUAAACUUCUUUUAUCUGGGAAUAAAACGUUCCACGUGUGGGAUUUUGUAUGUACCCUAUGAAUAAGCAUCGGCUAACUCCGUGCCAGCAGCCGCGGUAAUACGGAGGAUCCGAGCGUUAUCCGGAUUUAUUGGGUUUAAAGGGAGCGUAGGUGGUUUGUGAAGUCAGUUGUGAAAGGUUGGGGCUCAACCGUAAGAUGGCAGUUGAAACUGGCAGUCUAGAGUACAGGAGAGGUGGGCGGAAUUCGGGGUGUAGCGGUGAAAUGCAUAGAUAUCACGAAGAACUCCGAUUGCGAAGGCAGUGCACUGGACUGCAACUGACACUGAGGCUCGAAAGUGUGGGUAUCAAACAGGAUUAGAUACCCUGGUAGUC
RNAcentral lists this ribosomal RNA (460 nucleotides) under uncultured bacterium. Its description in RNAcentral is "partial 16S ribosomal RNA". It matches the Rfam family "Bacterial small subunit ribosomal RNA", at positions 338 to 795 of the family's 1533-position model. The record is from RNAcentral.